Molecule: ribosomal RNA, 425 nt
Filed under: uncultured bacterium
Lineage: Bacteria
Description: bacterial SSU rRNA
Rfam family: Bacterial small subunit ribosomal RNA
Source: RNAcentral
UUAGGGAAUUUUGACAAUGGGCGCAAGCCUGAUCGAGUGACGCCGCGUGCGGGACGAAGCCUUUCGGGGUGUAAACCGCUUUUCUCUGGGGCGAGGCAGGACGGUACCAGAGGAAGAAGCAUCGGCUAACUACGUGCCAGCAGCCGCGGUAAUACGUAGGAUGCAAGCGUUGUCCGGAAUUACUGGGCGUAAAGCGCGCGUAGGCGGCUUCAUAGGUGGGUUGUGAAAGCUCCCGGCUUACCUGGGAGAGGGCAGUCCAAACGGUGAAGCUAGAGGGCGGUAGGGGUUGGCGGAAUGCCUGGAGUAGCGGUGAAAUGCGUUGAGAUCAGGCAGAACACCAGUGGCGAAGGCGGCCGACUGGGCCGCACCUGACGCUGAGGCGCGAAAGCUAGGGGAGCGAACGGAAUUAGAUACCCCCGUAGUCC